UAUUCAGUUAAGUCCUGGCAACCUUAAACAAUAGUCAGCAUUUCUGCUCCAGUGAGCAUAAUUCUGUUGUGUUUUUGAUUGUCUUUUGGCAACAUGUCCCUUGGUGAAGUUUUCUGGGACAGUUUCUGUGAGGUUAGUGAGUUUGCUGUAAUCUUUGAAAGGAUGUUUAGCAGUGCCCAGAGAAAUAUGAAAGUUUUGGGUUCUCUGCUGUAAAACUAGAUUUGCCAUAAAAAAUAUUUCUAACCAGCUCAGCCCUGAGAAGCAAACUGUAUCCCAUUCUUACAGAAAAUGGUGAAAUUGAGUUUUGAUCCCAAAGCACCACUGCUUGUUUUUGUCAAAUCAGAAUACUGUGCUGAGCACACAUUUAAAGAGUGCACAAGAGCAUGGCUUGAGGAUCACAAGGGGGUAGUUCCCAGAUGCACUGUGCCUUUGAGAGGAGCCUGUGUGUGUCACAGACGGCUGUGUUUUCACAAUGCUGCUGCUAAUACUAUCAAAGUAGCAUGUGGGAAGCAAGAGCUGGAGCAGAGAGAUUGUCUCCUGCUUGUGUUCUCUGCUGGACCUGCUGAUGUCCCACUGGGGCACUCAAUGAUUCCCUGCUGAAUGUUUGGUGCCUUUUCUUUUCAACAGUGACAAGAGGUUGGCUCUGGAGUUUCUGGUUCUGACAAGAGUUGGGAAUUGACAAGAUUCACAUAAACAAGGAAGGGUUAUCUGAAUCUUCUCAGGACUCAUGAGAAAUACUGAAUCUGAGCCUGUCCAGCUAACCCCACUGGGCCUGGACUCACUUUUUUGGGAGACCAGAUUCCUCCACGACAUUUCUUUCUUUUCCUUUUUCUUUCCUCUUUGAGUAAGAAGACUUUAACAGCAACCAGUUUUGUUUAAGGAUACAUCCCAAAAGUUUAAGUGGAGGAACUGCAAGGUUGCACUGACCAUGUCUGAUGGUACUUACAAUGGAGAUCUCUUCUGAACAAGAAGGCUGGAGGCUGAAUCAGACAGAAAAUGAGUUUCCACAUUUUGGUGAAGAAAUGAGUGAACAUGUAAAAAUAAGUCGUGAUCCAUGAAUAAAUUUUUUUGUUUUAGCAACCUGAAUAAAGCA
Long non-coding RNA from Cyanistes caeruleus (blue tit), 1093 nucleotides. RefSeq lists it as uncharacterized. The record is from RefSeq and is a predicted model, not a curated record. NCBI's taxonomy places the organism in Eukaryota, Metazoa, Chordata, Aves, Passeriformes, Paridae.